Molecule: ribosomal RNA, 533 nt
Filed under: uncultured Acidobacteriota bacterium
Lineage: Bacteria; Pseudomonadati; Acidobacteriota
Description: bacterial SSU rRNA
Rfam family: Bacterial small subunit ribosomal RNA
Source: RNAcentral
UUGAUCCUGGCUCAGAAUCAACGCUGGCGGCGUGCCUAACACAUGCAAGUCGAACGCGAAAGCCCCUUCGGGGGUAAGUAGAGUGGCGUCCGGGUGAGUUACACGUAGGUAAUCUACCUUCGGGUGGGGAAUAACACCUCGAAAGAGGUUCUAAUACCGCAUAAUGCAGCGGCACCUAAUGGUGAUUAGUUGUUAAAGCUGGGGACCCGCAAGGGCCUCGCGCCUGAAGAGGAGCCUGCGGCAGAUUAGUUAGUUGGUGAGGUAAUGGCUCACCAAGGCUUCGAUCUGUAGCUGGUCUGUGAGGGCGGCCAGCCACACUGGCACUGACACACGGGCCAGACUCCUACGGUAGGCAGCAGUGGGGAAUUUUGGGCAAUGGGCGAAAGCCUGACCCAGCAAUGCCGCGUGAGGGAGGAAAUCCUUCGGGAUGUAAACCUCACAAGCAAGGGUAGAGAGCUGCGGGGCGAAUAAUCCCGCAGUCCGACGGUACCUUGCGUAAUCCACGGCUAACUACGUGCCAGCAGCCGCGGUAU